This 465-nucleotide ribosomal RNA is filed under the name uncultured bacterium. RNAcentral describes it as "partial 16S ribosomal RNA". It matches the Rfam family "Bacterial small subunit ribosomal RNA", at positions 339 to 795 of the family's 1533-position model. The record is from RNAcentral.
CUACGGGUCGCUGCAGUGGGGAAUAUUGGACAAUGGGGGAAACCCUGAUCCAGCAAUGCCGCGUGUGUGAAGAAGGCCUGCGGGUUGUAAAGCACUUUCGGUUGGGAGGACUGCUUCUAGCACUAAUAUUGUUGGAAGUUGACGUUACCUUCAGAAGAAGCACCGGCUAACUCCGUGCCAGCAGCCGCGGUAAUACGGGGGGUGCAAGCGUUAAUCGGAAUUACUGGGCGUAAAGCGCGCGUAGGCGGCUAGAUCAGUCGGGGGUGAAAGCCCCGGGCUUAACCUGGGAACUGCAUCCGAUACUGUCUAGCUUGAGUACAGGAGAGGAGAGUGGAAUUCCACAUGUAGCGGUGAAAUGCGUAGAUAUGUGGAGGAACACCAAUGGCGAAGGCAGCUCUCUGGCCUGAUACUGACGCUGAGGUGCGAAAGCGUGGGGAGCAAACAGGAUUAGAUACCCCUGUAGUC